AGAGUUUGAUCCUGGCUCAGAGCGAACGUUUGCGGCGGGCUUAACACAUGCAAGUCGAACGAGAAUCAAUCCUUCGGGGUUGAGGAAAGUGGCGCACGGGUGCGUAACACGUGGGUAAUCAACCCUCUUGACUGGGACAACUCGGGGAAACUCGAGCUAAUACCGGAUGUCGCGUUCGGGUCUUCGGGCCUGAACGUAAAAGGAGCAAUCCGCAAGAGGACGAGCUCGCGGCCCAUCAGCUAGUUGGAGAGGUAAUGGCUCACCAAGGCGAAGACGGGUAGCUGGUCUGAGAGGAUGAUCAGCCACACUGGAACUGAGACACGGUCCAGACUCCUACGGGAGGCAGCAGUGGGGAAUAUUGCACAAUGGGGGAAACCCUGAUGCAGCCAUGCCGCGUGUGUGAAGAAGGCCUUCGGGUUGUAAAGCACUUUCAGUUGUGAGGAAAGGUUAACGGUUAAUACCCGUUAGCUGUGACGUUAGCAACAGAAGAAGGACCGGCUAACUCCGUGCCAGCAGCCGCGGUAAUACGGAGGGUCCGAGCGUUAUCCGGAAUCAUUGGGUUUAAAGGGUCCGCAGGCGGCCAGAUAAGUCAGUGGUGAAAUUCCGUGGCUCAACCACGGAACUGCCAUUGAUACUGUUUGGCUUGAAUCAGUUCGAGGAUGCCGGAAUGUGUGGUGUAGCGGUGAAAUGCAUAGAUAUCACACAGAACACCAAUUGCGAAGGCAGGUGUCCAGAACUGUAUUGACGCUGAUGGACGAAAGCGUGGGUAGCGAACAGGAUUAGAUACCCUGGUAGUCCACGCCGUAAACGAUGGAUACUAGCUGUCCGGGCGCAAGCCUGGGCGGCCAAGCGAAAGUGAUAAGUAUCCCACCUGGGGAGUACGU
This 884-nucleotide ribosomal RNA is filed under the name uncultured Pseudomonadota bacterium. Its description in RNAcentral is "bacterial SSU rRNA". It matches the Rfam family "Bacterial small subunit ribosomal RNA", at positions 8 to 885 of the family's 1533-position model. Lineage: Bacteria; Pseudomonadati; Pseudomonadota. The record is from RNAcentral.